This is a small nuclear RNA of Chelonoidis abingdonii (Abingdon island giant tortoise), 128 nucleotides long. The record is from Ensembl. NCBI's taxonomy places the organism in Eukaryota, Metazoa, Chordata, Testudines, Testudinidae.
GCCACAGCUGAAACGAAAGAAGGUUAGCACUACCCUUGUUAAGGAUGGAAGAGGUCCUAGUGACCUUUACAACACGCAUAUGGUUAAGGCAUUGCCACUUACUUCAUGGGAUCUAGCCAAGUUUUUUG